GGCACGCCUAAUACAUGCAAGUCGAACGAAGUAGCAAUACUUAGUGGCAGACGGGUGAGUAACAUGUGGGUAUCUUCCCUUUGGUGAGGAAUAACACGAGGAAACUUGUGCUAAUACCUCAUAAGUCUUUACGGAGAAAGCUUUAUGCGCCAAUGGAUGAGCCCGCACUUGAUUAGUUUGUUGGUGGGGUAAAGGCCUACCAAGACUAUGAUCAAUAGCUGAUUUGAGAGGAUGAUCAGCCACAUUGGGACUGAGACACGGCCCAAACUCCUACGGGAGGCAGCAGUAGGGAAUCUUGCACAAUGGGGGAAACCCUGAUGCAGCGAUGCCGCGUGAGUGAAGAAGGCCCUUGGGUUGUAAAGCUCUUUCGUCGGGGAAGAAAAUGACUGUACCCGAAUAAGAAGGUCCGGCUAACUUCGUGCCAGCAGCCGCGGUAAUACGAAGGGACCUAGCGUAGUUCGGAAUUACUGGGCUUAAAGAGUUCGUAGGUGGUUAAAAAAGUUGGUGGUGAAAUCCCAGAGCUUAACUCUGGAACUGCCAUCAAAACUUUUUAGCUAGAGUAUGAUAGAGGAAAGCAGAAUUUCUAGUGUAGAGGUGAAAUUCGUAGAUAUUAGAAAGAAUACCAAUUGCGAAGGCAGCUUUCUGGAUCAUUACUGACGCUGAGGAACGAAAGCAUGGGUAGCGAAGAGGAUUAGAUACCCUCGUAGUCCAUGCCGUAAACGAUGUGUGUUAGACGUUGGAAAUUUAUUUUCAGUGUCGCAGCGAAAGCAAUAAACACACCGCCUGGGGAGUACGAC
Molecule: ribosomal RNA, 797 nt
Filed under: uncultured Pelagibacteraceae bacterium
Lineage: Bacteria; Pseudomonadati; Pseudomonadota; Alphaproteobacteria; Candidatus Pelagibacterales; Candidatus Pelagibacteraceae
Description: bacterial SSU rRNA
Rfam family: Bacterial small subunit ribosomal RNA
Source: RNAcentral